UACAGAGGGUGCGAGCGUUGUCCGGAAUCACUGGGCGUAAAGGGCGCGUAGGCGGCUCAGUAAGGUUGCGGUGAAAGCCCGGGGCUCAACCCCGGGUCGGCCGUGGCAACUGCUGGGCUGGAGCACUGUAGAGGCAGGUGGAAUUCCGGGUGUAGCGGUGGAAUGCGUAGAGAUCCGGAAGAACACCGGUGGCGAAGGCGGCCUGCUGGGCAGUAGCUGACGCUGAUGCGCGAAAGCGUGGGGAGCAAACAGG
RNAcentral lists this ribosomal RNA (253 nucleotides) under uncultured bacterium. RNAcentral's name for it is "partial 16S ribosomal RNA". It matches the Rfam family "Bacterial small subunit ribosomal RNA", at positions 524 to 776 of the family's 1533-position model. The record is from RNAcentral.